RNAcentral lists this ribosomal RNA (350 nucleotides) under uncultured bacterium. RNAcentral describes it as "partial 16S ribosomal RNA". It matches the Rfam family "Bacterial small subunit ribosomal RNA", at positions 338 to 705 of the family's 1533-position model. The record is from RNAcentral.
CCUACGGGAGGCAGCAGUAGGGAAUAUUGCUCAAUGGGGGAAACCCUGAUGCAGCGACGCCGCGUGAGUGAAGAAGUAUCUCGGUACGUAAAGCUCUAUCAGCAGGGAAGAUAAUGACGGUACCUGACCAAGAAGCCCCGGCUAACUACGUGCCAGCAGCCGCGGGAAUACGGAGGGGGCAAGCGUUAUCCGGAUUUACUGGGUGUAACGGGAGCGUAGACGGCAGCACAGGUCUGGAGUGAAAUCGCGGGGCGUAACCCCGGAACUGCUUUGGAAACUGGGCGGCUGGAGUGCAGGAGGGGUAAGCGGAAUGCGUAGUGUAGCGGUGAAAUGCGUAGAUAUGAGGAGGA